This is a long non-coding RNA of Anguilla anguilla (European eel), 95 nucleotides long. RefSeq lists it as uncharacterized. NCBI's taxonomy places the organism in Eukaryota, Metazoa, Chordata, Actinopteri, Anguilliformes, Anguillidae. The transcript is spliced from 3 exons. The record is from RefSeq and is a predicted model, not a curated record.
AACACAAUCAAGGCUAUUGACACAUCCAUAGAGGGUGAAGAUGCUUUCUUCUUAAAGACCUAUACGGAUGCUAAGAGAAGAGCCCAGUGCACACU